This 721-nucleotide ribosomal RNA is filed under the name uncultured fungus. RNAcentral describes it as "eukaryotic LSU rRNA". The stretch from base 299 to 452 matches the Rfam family "5.8S ribosomal RNA". Lineage: Eukaryota; Fungi. The record is from RNAcentral.
UCUUGGUCANNNNAGAGGAAGUAAAAGUCGUAACAAGGUUUCCGUAGGUGAACCUGCGGAAGGAUCAUUAUUGAAUAAACUUGCCCAGGUUGUUGCUGGCCCUCAUGGGUAUGUGCACGCUUGGCAUCUUUACUUCUCCACCUGUGCACAUAUUGUAGGCCUGGAGUCUGUUGUUGAUUCAUUUCGAGUUGGGACUGCUGUGCUGUUGUAGCCAGCUUUUCCUUGCAUUCUCCAGGUCUAUGUCAUUAUCACAACCUCAUAAUGUGUUUAGAAUGAGACCUAUAAAAGUUAAAUAUACAACUUUCAGCAACGGAUCUCUUGGCUCUCGCAUCGAUGAAGAACGCAGCGAAAUGCGAUAAGUAAUGUGAAUUGCAGAAUUCAGUGAAUCAUCGAAUCUUUGAACGCAUCUUGCGCUCCUUGGUAUUCCGAGGAGCAUGCCUGUUUGAGUGUCAUUCAAGUUCUCAACCACAUCAAUAUUCNGUUGAUGUGCGCUUGGACGUGGGGGUUUAUUUUGCAGGCUUCUUUGAAGUCGGCUCCCCUGAAAUGUAUUAGUGGUAUCUGAGCAGAAGAAACUACUACAGGUGUGAUAACUAUCUACAUCUUGGUAUGCUGCAUGAACAGAUUGCACUGCUUCUAAUGAGUGAAACCCCUUUUUGGGGCCACAUUUUGAUGAAUUUGACCUCAAAUCAGGUAGGACUACCCGCUGAACUUAAGCAUAUCA